RNAcentral lists this ribosomal RNA (484 nucleotides) under uncultured bacterium. RNAcentral describes it as "partial 16S ribosomal RNA". It matches the Rfam family "Bacterial small subunit ribosomal RNA", at positions 30 to 507 of the family's 1533-position model. The record is from RNAcentral.
AUUGAACGCUGGCGGCAGGCCUAACACAUGCAAGUCGAGCGGAUGAAGGGAGCUUGCUCCUGGCUUCAGCGGCGGACGGGUGAGUAAUGCCUAGGAAUCUGCCUGGUAGUGGGGGAUAACGUCCGGACACGGGCGCUAAUACCGCAUACGUCCUGAGGGAGAAAGUGGGGGAUCUUCGGACCUCACGCUAUCAGAUGAGCCUAGGUCGGAUUAGCUAGUUGGUGGGGUAAAGGCCUACCAAGGCGACGAUCCGUAACUGGUCUGAGAGGAUGAUCAGUCACACUGGAACUGAGACACGGUCCAGACUCCUACGGGAGGCAGCAGUAGGGAAUAUUGGACAAUGGGCGAAAGCCUGAUCCAGCCAUGCCGCGUGUGUGAAGAAGGUCUUCGGAUUGUAAAGCACUUUAAGUUGGGAGGAAGGGCAGUAAGUUAACACCUUGCUGUUUUGACGUUACCAACAGAAUAAGCACCGGCUAACUUCGUG